Misgurnus anguillicaudatus (oriental weatherfish) is the source of this 530-nucleotide long non-coding RNA. RefSeq lists it as uncharacterized. The record is from RefSeq and is a predicted model, not a curated record. NCBI's taxonomy places the organism in Eukaryota, Metazoa, Chordata, Actinopteri, Cypriniformes, Cobitidae.
CGCAAGUAUAUAAAACCGCAUGCGCGCCCUUCCUAGCUCUCUUUCUCAGCACGCGGCUGUUUGCGUGCAUUGUUGAAUAAAAAAUCUAAUCAAAUUAGCGCAUGAUGUAUAACACACGAGGGUCUGAUCACGCAGCGUCCAGACCACCAUGAGACAUGUGCUCUUCAAGAUCUGCACAUGAACACUCGAGUGUUGAUCAGAUUGAAGUGAGACCUUCUGAUGGAGCUGUUCGGGUGUUUGGUGAUAAACUGGUUGGAUGAUAUGAGUGUAGUGAUCUCGUGACCGCUUUACUCACGCGAGUAAAAAUGUUCACCGUUAUUGAAAUGGUGCUCUUCAAGAUCUGCACGUGAACACUCGAGUGUUGAUCAGAUUGAAGUGAGAUCUUCCGCUGGAGCUGUUCGGGGUGUUUGGUGAUAAACUGGAAUGAAGACACCCCACCGUGAUGUGAUGACAAAUGGAAAGAUGAGACAAAACUCAAAUGCAUGAAUUUAUUAAAGUAUCAAAGUCAUUUAAUAAAGAGUAUAAAACAA